AAAACUUUGGUGCCCAGGACUGGUGAGGCCACUGCUCCCAUGGCAGCUGAUCAGCCCUUGCUUCAGCCUCCCUUAUCCUUUCAUCGUGCUCCUUGCGGCUCAGUAUGACCUCUACUAUGCGAUAGAAAGACUGUGAGCUGUGAAAUGAGGCCACCUUGAUCUGAUCGUGUAAAGCCCGAUUAGAAUCCAGGGAUGGGAUAUCUUUCGGGCCGCAGAACAAGUUUUGAACGUCACUGGGAGCUAUGUUUCUUCCGUUAACAUACGUCUAACAUACGCUCUGACAUCUUGCCUGUAGAGUUCCCAGUGAGGGCAUACGAAGUCGAUUAGUAAAACCCUUUCAAGGACGUCGAUCCCCAGGAAGUCAUCGCAGAAAACGUUUCAUAGGGUAGGGCCGAGAACGGAGCCGUCCGUCACCGACCUGACGGAGCUGGACCCGUUGGUGAGGCGAAUGAUGAGAGUGCAGUAAUACCGAUUUGUUCUACCCAAACCCUGGUACUAAUUUUUAAUGUCUAAUUCAUUAUUCAAUCGCAG
Molecule: non-coding RNA, 531 nt
Organism: Cinara cedri
Lineage: Eukaryota; Metazoa; Arthropoda; Insecta; Hemiptera; Aphididae
Source: the annotation of a GenBank genome assembly